RNAcentral lists this long non-coding RNA (296 nucleotides) under Vulpes vulpes (red fox). RNAcentral describes it as "lncRNA (ENSVVUG00000012816.1)". The record is from RNAcentral. Lineage: Eukaryota; Metazoa; Chordata; Mammalia; Carnivora; Canidae.
AUGAGAGACAUGCUUUAUGCAAUACAUCCACCAGGAAUUGGGGAAAAUAAAAGACCAGAUUAUGGAGAACAUAGCCAAAUACCCAGUACUGAUUUGUUACAAGUGUAUCAGUUGCAACAGGAAGCCCCUCAUCCUCGAAGAAUCACCUGUACUAAUGAGGUGGAAAACAGACCAAAGUACUAUGGAAGAGAGUAAGUAUGGAUUAUGAGAAAACAUUUUAUAGAUUGGAAUAUUUAAGAGAGACAGGUAAAUGGAUGCUUGUAGUAAAAAUAAAAGCAAGAUGGGAAAAAAAAGCA